This 397-nucleotide long non-coding RNA is filed under the name Hordeum vulgare. RNAcentral's name for it is "long non-coding RNA (HVUL_LNC019900)". Lineage: Eukaryota; Viridiplantae; Streptophyta; Magnoliopsida; Poales; Poaceae. The record is from RNAcentral.
UGUUGCUAGCCAUGUGCCGGUUAACCAGACUUGCCUGCCUGGAUGACUCCACGUUCAAUCACAAGCAGCACUCGUCCUAGUAUAUUUUAGUGUAGAUUAGCAGUUUGAAGCAUCCGUAUUGCUGUGUAGGCUGGCCCAUGAAUCAGCCCGGCUAGUUCUGAAAGGUGUUAAUAAUCCCUGCAAAAAAAAGGUGUUAGUAAUCCAGCAUCAACUGGUUGUAGAGUUGUACGUAAGGACGGCAUUACAUCGCAACUUGCAUGCGUGCAGGCCGAGGUCAAACAAUUAUUCUGGAGAUAGGACGGUAAUGUGCAGUAUAUAAAACUACAGUAUUUCGCUACUCUAUAUACAUGCAUGCAUGUAAAGAUCAAUCGCUUUCGUACAACAGCGAAAGGUUGGA